This 254-nucleotide ribosomal RNA is filed under the name uncultured bacterium. RNAcentral's name for it is "partial 16S ribosomal RNA". It matches the Rfam family "Bacterial small subunit ribosomal RNA", at positions 334 to 598 of the family's 1533-position model. The record is from RNAcentral.
GACGUCCUACGGGAGGCAGCAGUCGAGAAUCAUUCAUAAUGGGGGAAACCCUGAUGGUGCGACGCCGCGUGGGGGAAUGAAGGUCUUCGGAUUGUAAACCCCUGUCAUGUGGGAGCAAAUUAAAAAGAUAGUACCACAAGAGGAAGAGACGGCUAACUCUGUGCCAGCAGCCGCGGUAAUACAGAGGUCUCAAGCGUUGUUCGGAAUCACUGGGCGUAAAGCGUGCGUAGGCUGUUUCGUAAGCCAUGUGUGAA